RNAcentral lists this ribosomal RNA (253 nucleotides) under uncultured bacterium. Its description in RNAcentral is "partial 16S ribosomal RNA". It matches the Rfam family "Bacterial small subunit ribosomal RNA", at positions 524 to 776 of the family's 1533-position model. The record is from RNAcentral.
UACAGAGGGGGCAAGCGUUGUUCGGAAUUACUGGGCGUAAAGGGCGCGUAGGCGGCCUUCUAAGUCGAACGUGAAAUCCCCGGGCUCAACCCAGGAACUGCGUCCGAUACUGGAAGGCUUGAAUCCGGGAGAGGGAUGCGGAAUUCCAGGUGUAGCGGUGAAAUGCGUAGAUAUCUGGAGGAACACCGGUGGCGAAGGCGGCAUCCUGGACCGGUAUUGACGCUGAGGCGCGAAAGCCAGGGGAGCAAACGGG